CAGUAGCCGCGGGAAUACGUAGGGUGCAAGCGUUAAUCGGAAUUACUGGGCGUAAAGCGUGCGCAGGCGGUUAUAUAAGACAGAUGUGAAAUCCCCGGGCUCAACCUGGGAACUGCAUUUGUGACUGUAUAGCUAGAGUACGGCAGAGGGGGAUGGAAUUCCGCGUGUAGCAGUGAAAUGCGUAGAUAUGCGGAGGAACACCGAUGGCGAAGGCAAUCCCCUUGGCCUGUACUGACGCUCAUGCACGAAAGCGUGGGGAGCAAACAGGAUUAGAUACCCGUGUAGUCCCUGUCUCUUAUAC
RNAcentral lists this ribosomal RNA (301 nucleotides) under uncultured bacterium. RNAcentral's name for it is "partial 16S ribosomal RNA". It matches the Rfam family "Bacterial small subunit ribosomal RNA", at positions 509 to 807 of the family's 1533-position model. The record is from RNAcentral.